Molecule: transfer RNA, 90 nt
Filed under: bacterium
Lineage: Bacteria
Description: tRNA-Ser
Rfam family: tRNA
About the family: Transfer RNA (tRNA) molecules are approximately 80 nucleotides in length. Their secondary structure includes four short double-helical elements and three loops (D, anti-codon, and T loops).
Source: RNAcentral
GGAGAGUUGGCCGAGUGGACGAAGGCGCACGCUUGGAAAGCGUGUAUGCGGCGAUGAGCUGUAUCGUGGGUUCGAAUCCCACACUCUCCG